RNAcentral lists this ribosomal RNA (253 nucleotides) under uncultured bacterium. RNAcentral describes it as "partial 16S ribosomal RNA". It matches the Rfam family "Bacterial small subunit ribosomal RNA", at positions 524 to 776 of the family's 1533-position model. The record is from RNAcentral.
UACGUAGGGUGCGAGCGUUGUCCGGAAUUACUGGGCGGAAAGAGCUCGUAGGUGGUUUGUCGCGUUGUUCGUGAAAACUCACAACUCAAUUGUGGGCGUGCGGGCGAUACGGGCAGACUGGAGUACUGCAGGGGAGACUGGAAUUCCUGGUGUAGCGGUGGAAUGCGCAGAUAUCAGGAGGAACACCGGUGGCGAAGGCGGGUCUCUGGGCAGUAACUGACGCUGAGGAGCGAAAGCGUGGGGAGCGAACAGG